Molecule: small nucleolar RNA, 129 nt
Organism: Rattus rattus (black rat)
Lineage: Eukaryota; Metazoa; Chordata; Mammalia; Rodentia; Muridae
Product: small nucleolar RNA SNORA17
Exons: 1
Source: RefSeq, a predicted model, not a curated record
CCUGCCCCUAGAGGUAUUGUAGAUGUGGCUGCUGUGUCAUAUUGCGUCAGUAGGUGGCAGAGUAGAGAAAGACUAUGUCUGCACUCUGUUCUGACCUGUGGACAUAUGAAUGAUUAGUAGCCUAACAUC